GAAGCUGAGAGAGUUCUUCAGAGAGAAAGCUACCUGGAGGCCAAGGAGAAAGCAGAUGAGGAUCUCUGUUUGCUGGCCAGCGGAAUAACGUCCACCAGUCUUCCUAGCUCGGUGUUGCCUCCUGAAGACCAAGAUUUGGCUGAAGGUGGGCUGGGUGAGGAGUCUGCAAAUCUGAAUGAGGUGACGGUGUCUUUGGAUAACGCUGACUGGGCCCUGUUG
This is a long non-coding RNA of Gekko japonicus, 219 nucleotides long. RefSeq lists it as uncharacterized. The transcript is spliced from 3 exons. The record is from RefSeq and is a predicted model, not a curated record. NCBI's taxonomy places the organism in Eukaryota, Metazoa, Chordata, Lepidosauria, Squamata, Gekkonidae.